This is a long non-coding RNA of Chinchilla lanigera (long-tailed chinchilla), 1288 nucleotides long. RefSeq lists it as uncharacterized. The record is from RefSeq and is a predicted model, not a curated record. NCBI's taxonomy places the organism in Eukaryota, Metazoa, Chordata, Mammalia, Rodentia, Chinchillidae. The transcript is spliced from 3 exons.
UUAGCCAAAUCCGGGAGGGCGCGGGCCGGUUUUCCUCGGCGCUCCUCGCCGCCGCCUCCUGCGGUCCUGAGUGCUUGCGGGGUGGAGCCACUGUCUAGCUCUAACCGAAAGAAGCCAAGGCUGCCAGGGGAGCCCGUCUGUGAUGUCCUCGCUCCCUCAUCGUCAAGACCCUCGCACGCGCUGCAAAGAGGGAACGACAGGCACGGAGCGGCCGGGGGCGGGGUUCUCGCCGAGCUCCGGGUUCCUCUGGACUCGGGCGACGGUGAAGACGCGGGCACCCCGCCCCUCUCGGCGCCUGCGCUGCUUCCGCGCUGCUGGGCCGCCGAGCGGGCUGCCGAGUUAGCGCAGGAGUCGCCCGCUGGAGCGUAGCUCUUGGGAGUGCGGCUUGAGGUCGGCGCUGGGUCGAAAUCACACAGCGCCCUGUGACCUCUGGAGCCUGACUCGUCUCUGGUUAAAGGGUCCUUCAUGGUAGCUGCAGAUUGGGAGUCCCGUCCUGCUGGAAGCCGAGCCUGGGAAAUGCGUGAGCCUCUGUAGCUGCCACCCUCCUUCCAGACUCAGAGAAUGAUAUCCAGCAUGCUCUGGGAGCCUUUGAGUCAUCUCCGUCUGUGAAUCAACCUCCAGCCAUCUAUUCUGAACAGUGAGAUCUCAUCUUCCCCUGGUUUCUGGAACUGGAAGCUCGUGUUUUUCCUUCGGAUUUUGUUUAACGAGUGCUUCCACCUCGAAGCAUGUCAAACUGUCCUCCCAGAUGCAGACUGAGGACUGAAAGCCAGAGCUGGAGAUAAGCAUCUAACCCAAGACCCUGCAGGGAAACACUGAAAACUGCAGCCUCCACUCAACAGGAACUUCCUGCAUCUUCCCACACUGCCUGAGAGCUCUGGCCAGCAAUUUUGACAGGACGUUUGUUCCAUGUUAUGACCAGCAAAACAGCCGAGAAAAACUUGCGUCACUCUGGCCUAGUGGAGUGUGCUCCACCAGACAGGACGUUUGUGUCACAAGCCUUCUAAGAAUCAGGAGGAAGGAAGUCAUUCAUAAAGGAAGCAGAUGCUGAACUACAACUCUGAUUUCCUCUUGCAUGAACUGUAGGAAUGUUACUUCACUGAGGGAACAGGUUUCUCUGCAAUUUGACCAUAGGAAGCUCCCUACCUUUUCAAGUUGAGGUAGGGCCGUGAAGAGCCUAAUGCAAUACCCACCUUCUCCACAGGGGGGUAGGUUCUCAGGUCUCAGAAGUGUACAGGGACAGAUAAGACCUCAGAAGGCAGGAGAGGGGAUGUCCAGAAACCAGAGUGCU